UCCCCAAGAAUACUUGACAACCCCA
This 25-nucleotide non-coding RNA is filed under the name Drosophila melanogaster (fruit fly). Lineage: Eukaryota; Metazoa; Arthropoda; Insecta; Diptera; Drosophilidae. The record is from RNAcentral.